RNAcentral lists this ribosomal RNA (400 nucleotides) under uncultured bacterium. RNAcentral's name for it is "bacterial SSU rRNA". It matches the Rfam family "Bacterial small subunit ribosomal RNA", at positions 355 to 770 of the family's 1533-position model. The record is from RNAcentral.
UCGAGAAUCUUCCACAAUGGGCGAAAGCCUGAUGGAGCGAUGCCGCGUGUAGGAUGAAGGCUCUUGGGUCGUAAACUACUUUUAUGAGGGAGGAAUUUUUGACGUUACCUCAUGAAUAAGAGGCUCCUAAUCCCGUGCCAGCAGGAGCGGUCAUACGGAAGCCUCAAGCGUUACCCGGAAUCACUGGGCGUAAAGGGUGUGUAGGCGGUUAUGUUAGUCUUUUGUGAAAGCCCGGGGCUCAACCUCGGAUCCGCAGAGGAUACGGCAUAACUGGAGGAUGAGAGAGGUGUACAGAACUCACGGUGUAGGGGUGAAAUCCGUUGAUAUCGUGGGGAAUACCAAAUGCGAAGGCAGUACACUAGCUCAUUCCUGACGCUGAAACACGAAAGCGUGGGUAGCG